UCGUUGGUUUGUCCCAGCCAAGGUAAUGACUAAGGGAGACAGUCGGGGGCAUCUGUACUGCAGCGCUAGAGGUGAAAUUCUUGGACCGUUGCAAGACAAACGACAGCGAAAGCAUUUGCCAAGUAUGUUUUCAUUAAUCAAGAACGAAAGUUAGAGGUUCGAAGGCGAUCAGAUACCGCCGUAGUUCUAACCAUAAACGAUGCCAACCAGCAAUCUAUCGAGCGUUAUAUCCAUGACCCGAUAGGCAGCUUCUGGGAAACCAAAGUCUUUGGGUUCCGGGGGAAGUAUGGUUGCAAAGCUGAAACUUAAAGGAAUUGACGGAAGGGCACCACCAGGAGUGGAGCCUGCGGCUUAAUUUGACUCAACACGGGGAACCUCACCAGGCCCAGACACUGGAAGGAUUGACAGAAUGAGAGCUCUUUCUCGAUUCAGUGGGUGGUGGUGCAUGGCCGUUCUUAGUUGGUGGAGUGAUUUGUCUGGUUAAUUC
This 487-nucleotide ribosomal RNA is filed under the name Megalobrachium pacificum. RNAcentral's name for it is "SSU rRNA". It matches the Rfam family "Eukaryotic small subunit ribosomal RNA", at positions 840 to 1325 of the family's 1831-position model. The record is from RNAcentral. Lineage: Eukaryota; Metazoa; Arthropoda; Malacostraca; Decapoda; Porcellanidae.